Molecule: ribosomal RNA, 2906 nt
Filed under: Escherichia coli
Lineage: Bacteria; Pseudomonadati; Pseudomonadota; Gammaproteobacteria; Enterobacterales; Enterobacteriaceae
Description: 23S ribosomal RNA
Rfam family: Bacterial large subunit ribosomal RNA
Source: RNAcentral
GGUUAAGCGACUAAGCGUACACGGUGGAUGCCCUGGCAGUCAGAGGCGAUGAAGGACGUGCUAAUCUGCGAUAAGCGUCGGUAAGGUGAUAUGAACCGUUAUAACCGGCGAUUUCCGAAUGGGGAAACCCAGUGUGUUUCGACACACUAUCAUUAACUGAAUCCAUAGGUUAAUGAGGCGAACCGGGGGAACUGAAACAUCUAAGUACCCCGAGGAAAAGAAAUCAACCGAGAUUCCCCCAGUAGCGGCGAGCGAACGGGGAGCAGCCCAGAGCCUGAAUCAGUGUGUGUGUUAGUGGAAGCGUCUGGAAAGGCGCGCGAUACAGGGUGACAGCCCCGUACACAAAAAUGCACAUGCUGUGAGCUCGAUGAGUAGGGCGGGACACGUGGUAUCCUGUCUGAAUAUGGGGGGACCAUCCUCCAAGGCUAAAUACUCCUGACUGACCGAUAGUGAACCAGUACCGUGAGGGAAAGGCGAAAAGAACCCCGGCGAGGGGAGUGAAAAAGAACCUGAAACCGUGUACGUACAAGCAGUGGGAGCACGCUUAGGCGUGUGACUGCGUACCUUUUGUAUAAUGGGUCAGCGACUUAUAUUCUGUAGCAAGGUUAACCGAAUAGGGGAGCCGAAGGGAAACCGAGUCUUAACUGGGCGUUAAGUUGCAGGGUAUAGACCCGAAACCCGGUGAUCUAGCCAUGGGCAGGUUGAAGGUUGGGUAACACUAACUGGAGGACCGAACCGACUAAUGUUGAAAAAUUAGCGGAUGACUUGUGGCUGGGGGUGAAAGGCCAAUCAAACCGGGAGAUAGCUGGUUCUCCCCGAAAGCUAUUUAGGUAGCGCCUCGUGAAUUCAUCUCCGGGGGUAGAGCACUGUUUCGGCAAGGGGGUCAUCCCGACUUACCAACCCGAUGCAAACUGCGAAUACCGGAGAAUGUUAUCACGGGAGACACACGGCGGGUGCUAACGUCCGUCGUGAAGAGGGAAACAACCCAGACCGCCAGCUAAGGUCCCAAAGUCAUGGUUAAGUGGGAAACGAUGUGGGAAGGCCCAGACAGCCAGGAUGUUGGCUUAGAAGCAGCCAUCAUUUAAAGAAAGCGUAAUAGCUCACUGGUCGAGUCGGCCUGCGCGGAAGAUGUAACGGGGCUAAACCAUGCACCGAAGCUGCGGCAGCGACACUUAUGUGUUGUUGGGUAGGGGAGCGUUCUGUAAGCCUGUGAAGGUGUGCUGUGAGGCAUGCUGGAGGUAUCAGAAGUGCGAAUGCUGACAUAAGUAACGAUAAAGCGGGUGAAAAGCCCGCUCGCCGGAAGACCAAGGGUUCCUGUCCAACGUUAAUCGGGGCAGGGUGAGUCGACCCCUAAGGCGAGGCCGAAAGGCGUAGUCGAUGGGAAACAGGUUAAUAUUCCUGUACUUGGUGUUACUGCGAAGGGGGGACGGAGAAGGCUAUGUUGGCCGGGCGACGGUUGUCCCGGUUUAAGCGUGUAGGCUGGUUUUCCAGGCAAAUCCGGAAAAUCAAGGCUGAGGCGUGAUGACGAGGCACUACGGUGCUGAAGCAACAAAUGCCCUGCUUCCAGGAAAAGCCUCUAAGCAUCAGGUAACAUCAAAUCGUACCCCAAACCGACACAGGUGGUCAGGUAGAGAAUACCAAGGCGCUUGAGAGAACUCGGGUGAAGGAACUAGGCAAAAUGGUGCCGUAACUUCGGGAGAAGGCACGCUGAUAUGUAGGUGAAGUCCCUCGCGGAUGGAGCUGAAAUCAGUCGAAGAUACCAGCUGGCUGCAACUGUUUAUUAAAAACACAGCACUGUGCAAACACGAAAGUGGACGUAUACGGUGUGACGCCUGCCCGGUGCCGGAAGGUUAAUUGAUGGGGUUAGCCGCAAGGCGAAGCUCUUGAUCGAAGCCCCGGUAAACGGCGGCCGUAACUAUAACGGUCCUAAGGUAGCGAAAUUCCUUGUCGGGUAAGUUCCGACCUGCACGAAUGGCGUAAUGAUGGCCAGGCUGUCUCCACCCGAGACUCAGUGAAAUUGAACUCGCUGUGAAGAUGCAGUGUACCCGCGGCAAGACGGAAAGACCCCGUGAACCUUUACUAUAGCUUGACACUGAACAUUGAGCCUUGAUGUGUAGGAUAGGUGGGAGGCUUAGAAGUGUGGACGCCAGUCUGCAUGGAGCCGACCUUGAAAUACCACCCUUUAAUGUUUGAUGUUCUAACGUUGACCCGUAAUCCGGGUUGCGGACAGUGUCUGGUGGGUAGUUUGACUGGGGCGGUCUCCUCCUAAAGAGUAACGGAGGAGCACGAAGGUUGGCUAAUCCUGGUCGGACAUCAGGAGGUUAGUGCAAUGGCAUAAGCCAGCUUGACUGCGAGCGUGACGGCGCGAGCAGGUGCGAAAGCAGGUCAUAGUGAUCCGGUGGUUCUGAAUGGAAGGGCCAUCGCUCAACGGAUAAAAGGUACUCCGGGGAUAACAGGCUGAUACCGCCCAAGAGUUCAUAUCGACGGCGGUGUUUGGCACCUCGAUGUCGGCUCAUCACAUCCUGGGGCUGAAGUAGGUCCCAAGGGUAUGGCUGUUCGCCAUUUAAAGUGGUACGCGAGCUGGGUUUAGAACGUCGUGAGACAGUUCGGUCCCUAUCUGCCGUGGGCGCUGGAGAACUGAGGGGGGCUGCUCCUAGUACGAGAGGACCGGAGUGGACGCAUCACUGGUGUUCGGGUUGUCAUGCCAAUGGCACUGCCCGGUAGCUAAAUGCGGAAGAGAUAAGUGCUGAAAGCAUCUAAGCACGAAACUUGCCCCGAGAUGAGUUCUCCCUGACUCCUUGAGAGUCCUGAAGGAACGUUGAAGACGACGACGUUGAUAGGCCGGGUGUGUAAGCGCAGCGAUGCGUUGAGCUAACCGGUACUAAUGAACCGUGAGGCUUAACCUU